Long non-coding RNA from Tupaia belangeri chinensis (Chinese tree shrew), 289 nucleotides. RefSeq lists it as uncharacterized. Lineage: Eukaryota; Metazoa; Chordata; Mammalia; Scandentia; Tupaiidae. The transcript is spliced from 3 exons. The record is from RefSeq and is a predicted model, not a curated record.
CGCGGGAGCGCGCACGAGCACGUGACCGCCUCCGCAGCCGAUCGCUGGUUUGGAGGCGUUCGGCUCUUGUCUGUUUGCGUCAAGAUUGGGAGGUGGCUUCUGAAGAAUGAAGACCAGCAGGGCUGCAGAAGGGAAGGAGACCUUGCAUUAGAGUAAACCCGCUCAGACGUGGGAAAGGAAAGAAUGCCAGCUUAGACAGUGAAUUCAGGUGGAAGAGGACUCUAGGAGUGGAGGAAAGAGAAGAGAACUUUAAGACUUAAGAUGCAACUGAGGGGGCCGGCAAGUGGCA